GAUGAACGCUGGCGGCGUGCCUAAUACAUGCAAGUCGAGCGAACCACUUCGGUGGUGAGCGGCGAACGGGUGAGUAACACGUAGGUGAUCUGCCCAUCAGACGGGGACAACGAUUGGAAACGAUCGCUAAUACCGGAUAGGACGAAAGUUUAAAGGUGCUCCUGGCACCGCUGAUGGAUGAGCCUGCGGCGCAUUAGCUAGUUGGUAGGGUAAAGGCCUACCAAGGCGACGAUGCGUAGCCGACCUGAGAGGGUGAACGGCCACACUGGGACUGAGACACGGCCCAGACUCCUACGGGAGGCAGCAGUAGGGAAUCUUCGGCAAUGGGCGAAAGCCUGACCGAGCAACGCCGCGUGAAUGAUGAA
Molecule: ribosomal RNA, 365 nt
Filed under: uncultured bacterium
Lineage: Bacteria
Description: bacterial SSU rRNA
Rfam family: Bacterial small subunit ribosomal RNA
Source: RNAcentral